This 370-nucleotide long non-coding RNA is filed under the name Helianthus annuus (common sunflower). RNAcentral's name for it is "sRNA HanXRQr2_Chr16g0758791". The record is from RNAcentral. Lineage: Eukaryota; Viridiplantae; Streptophyta; Magnoliopsida; Asterales; Asteraceae.
ACAAAAUUUUAGUUAUUUGGGUUCAACUUUAUCUAGCAUUAGUUAACUUUUUGUUCUUGAUUCAUCAUGCACUCCAUGGCAUAUAUUUGACUAAAUGUCUUAAUGAAAUUUCAUACAAUUCCAGGCAUAUAUUUGUGCUUGUUUAAUGAUUCCUAAGGUAACUUGGAGCACCAAUGGAACCGAACACGCCAAUGACAAAACUAAGGAAGGCGGAAAAUGGGAAGAAUUCAUGACACCCACAACAAAACACAUGUAGACAAUGACUUUGAAGUAUCAUAUCAUCUUCAUCUUGGUUGUUUUUGUUAGUUUAUGUUUUAGAACUCGCAAGUUAUAGAUCUUUACAUUUUUUAUUUUAUUUUUUCACAUGUAU